RNAcentral lists this ribosomal RNA (497 nucleotides) under uncultured bacterium. Its description in RNAcentral is "partial 16S ribosomal RNA". It matches the Rfam family "Bacterial small subunit ribosomal RNA", at positions 28 to 507 of the family's 1533-position model. The record is from RNAcentral.
GAUGAACGCUGGCGGCGUGCCUAAUACAUGCAAGUCGAGCGAACAGACGAGGAGCUUGCUCCUCUGACGUUAGCGGCGGACGGGUGAGUAACACGUGGAUAACCUACCUAUAAGACUGGGAUAACUUCGGGAAACCGGAGCUAAUACCGGAGAAUAUAUUGAACCGCAUGGUGCAAUAGUGAAAGACGGUUUUGCUGGCACGUAUAGAGGGAUCCGCGCCGCAUUAGCGGGUUGUUAAGGUAAAGGGUUACCAAGGCAACGAUGCGUAGCCGACCUGAGGGGGUGAUCGGCCACCCUGGAACUUGGACACGGUCCAGACUCCUGCGGGACGCCGCAGUCUGGAAUCGUCCGCAAUGGGCGAAAGCCUGACGGAGCAACGCCGCGUGAGUGAUGAAGGUCUUCGGAUCGUAAAACUCUGUUAUGAGGGAAGAACAAAUGUGUAAGUAACUAUGCACGUAUUGACGGUACCUAAUCAGAAAGCAACGGCUAACUACGUG